RNAcentral lists this ribosomal RNA (701 nucleotides) under uncultured bacterium. RNAcentral describes it as "bacterial SSU rRNA". It matches the Rfam family "Bacterial small subunit ribosomal RNA", at positions 140 to 828 of the family's 1533-position model. The record is from RNAcentral.
GGGAUAACACCUGGAAACAGAUGCUAAUACCGGAUAACAACACUAGACGCAUGUCUAGAGUUUGAAAGAUGGUUCUGCUAUCACUCUUGGAUGGACCUGCGGUGCAUUAGCUAGUUGGUAAGGUAACGGCUUACCAAGGCAAUGAUGCAUAGCCGAGUUGAGAGACUGAUCGGCCACAUUGGGACUGAGACACGGCCCAAACUCCUACGGGAGGCAGCAGUAGGGAAUCUUCCACAAUGGACGAAAGUCUGAUGGGGCAACGCCGCGUGAGUGAAGAAGGGUUUCGGCUCGUAAAGCUCUGUUGGUAGUGAAGAAAGAUAGAGGUAGUAACUGGCCUUUAUUUGACGGUAAUUACUUAGAAAGUCACGGCUAACUACGUGCCAGCAGCCGCGGUAAUACGUAGGUGGCAAGCGUUGUCCGGAUUUAUUGGGCGUAAAGCGAGUGCAGGCGGUUCAAUAAGUCUGAUGUGAAAGCCUUCGGCUCAACCGGAGAAUUGCAUCAGAAACUGUUGAACUUGAGUGCAGAAGAGGAGAGUGGAACUCCAUGUGUAGCGGUGGAAUGCGUAGAUAUAUGGAAGAACACCAGUGGCGAAGGCGGCUCUCUGGUCUGCAACUGACGCUGAGGCUCGAAAGCAUGGGUAGCGAACAGGAUUAGAUACCCUGGUAGUCCAUGCCGUAAACGAUGAGUAAUAAGUGUUGGGA